Long non-coding RNA from Thalassophryne amazonica, 779 nucleotides. RefSeq lists it as uncharacterized. The transcript is spliced from 3 exons. NCBI's taxonomy places the organism in Eukaryota, Metazoa, Chordata, Actinopteri, Batrachoidiformes, Batrachoididae. The record is from RefSeq and is a predicted model, not a curated record.
UCAUCAGCUGUCUCAACGACAGAUAUCUGCAUAUUUUGUACAACAAUCAUUUACAUAAAUUCAGCAUUAUUUCAUCAGAAAAGACAGAGGAAGUGAUCAGAUUGCCGCAGCUACACGAGCUGCCAGCUGUUGCAUUUACUGCGUGUUGGUCAUUUCAAAGAGUCACCGAUUAUCGCCUCGUUUCUGCUUAAAACUGACUUUAGAAUGAUUUAAGAGGUUUAACUUUAUCAUCUGAUGGUCAAUAAUCACAUUAAUCCAUUUGAUCGCUUUGGGUGAAGAGACUCCGUCUCAGAAGAGCUGCUGUGGUCUGAAAUGAUGCAUGCGCUGUGGAGACGGACCAAAUUUUAGGGGGGGAUCGUUCGGUUUGCGACACCGGCACGUGGAAAUCCACACUGGACAAAAAUGGACACGAUGUUUAAAGACUAUUUGUCAAUAACAGCUUGAGAAGAGAGAGUGUGUGUGUGUGUGUAUUGGGGUGGGGGACACCUGUUUGUCACACACCUGAAUUAAAUGACAGGUGUGUAAGAAGGUUCACAUCGACUCACCAGCUGGAACACAGAAGGAAUAAUACAGAGUAAUUAGUAAAAGUUAAUGAAGGUCUCUGUAACGUGGAGUUGUGUCAGGAAGGGCAGCCGGUGUAAAACUUGUGCCAAAUCAACCUCAGAUCUGCUGUGGUGACAUCAAGUGAAAACCAGGUUGAAGCUGAAGGGACUAAUGAAGAUCUGCACGUUUACAGUUUGUUAGCUCGUUCGUGUGACGGUUUUGAGAAAAACAGAGGA